UUUCCGUAGGUGAACCUGCGGAAGGAUCAUUAAUGUGUUUGGGCCUCACGGCUCUUCAUUCCGACGCUGUGCGCCUUCGGGCUGCACGCUGAGGGAGCAUAUAUCCACCCCUGUGCACACACACGGUGGCGAGCUGGGUAACGGCUCGCCGCUGAUCUUUACACACGUCUAAAAGUCAUUGUAUGUUUAUUUGAGGUAAAAACACAACUUUCAGCAACGGAUCUCUUGGCUCUC
Molecule: unclassified non-coding RNA, 234 nt
Filed under: plant metagenome
Description: partial contains small subunit ribosomal RNA, internal transcribed spacer 1, and 5.8S ribosomal RNA
Source: RNAcentral